Molecule: ribosomal RNA, 472 nt
Filed under: uncultured bacterium
Lineage: Bacteria
Description: bacterial SSU rRNA
Rfam family: Bacterial small subunit ribosomal RNA
Source: RNAcentral
ACUCCUACGGGAGGCAGCAGUAGGGAAUCUUCCACAAUGGACGAAAGUCUGAUGGAGCAACGCCGCGUGAGUGAAGAAGGGUUUCGGCUCGUAAAACUCUGUUGUUAAAGAAGAACAUAUCUGAGAGUAACUGUUCAGGUAUUGACGGUAUUUAACCAGAAAGCCACGGCUAACUACGUGCCAGCAGCCGCGGUAAUACGUAGGUGGCAAGCGUUGUCCGGAUUUAUGGGGCGUAAAGCGAGCGCAGGCGGUUUUUAAGUCUGAUGUGAAAGCCUUCGGCUCAACCGAAGAAGUGCAUCGGAAACUGGGAAACUUGAGUGCAGAAGAGGACAGUGGAACUCCAUGUGUAGCGGUGAAAUGCGUAGAUAUAUGGAAGAACACCAGUGGCGAAGGCGGCUGUCUGGUCUGUAACUGACGCUGAGGCUCGAAAGUAUGGGUAACAAACAGGAUUAGAUACCCUGGUAGGAUAGCG